AUGGAGGGACUGGGCCAACCUAACGUCGGUGUUCGUCGAGGACAUUGCCGGACGGCUGCUCUCCGUCGACGUGUCCGAGUACCUGCGCUUCAGGGCCGUGUGCGCGCCCUGGCGCGAACUGACGGACGACCCACGCACGGGCGGCGUCCUAGACGGUUGGAUCCCUCUAUGCAAUCAGGCGUCGACCCCAUCGCGUCUCCGCCUCAGGAACACAACCACCAACGCCCGUGUCGGGCUGGACCUCCCGGUGUUGGCAGCCAGCCACCUCCUCAGUGUCCUCGAAGACCUCGACGGCCUCCUCGUCCUCUGCGACAAGGGCACAAGCGCCGUCCGCCUCCUCCACCCGCUCACCGGCGUGCUAGCCGAGUUCCCAGUCAUCGCCAACGUGCGGGACCGGGGCGGCGCCGGGGUUGCCAUGGACGCGUUCAGGUCCCGGUUCCCCAACCUCGGCCCCGAGCCACCGAAUGGAUACGACAUUGA
RNAcentral lists this ribosomal RNA (480 nucleotides) under Triticum aestivum (bread wheat). RNAcentral's name for it is "partial small subunit ribosomal RNA". Lineage: Eukaryota; Viridiplantae; Streptophyta; Magnoliopsida; Poales; Poaceae. The record is from RNAcentral.